Molecule: long non-coding RNA, 3110 nt
Organism: Oreochromis niloticus (Nile tilapia)
Lineage: Eukaryota; Metazoa; Chordata; Actinopteri; Cichliformes; Cichlidae
Source: Ensembl
AUGAGACUGGAUGUGUUCAACAGAAGACAGAAAGCAAAGCUACAACGGAUAGAGCGAAUAAAGCUAUCUGCAGAAGGCAUCCCUCCAAGCAAGAAUCCUACUGCAGACCAAACUCCCAUCUCACAGCAUUUGAAGGACUCCACCAAUGAAGAACCUAGAAAUGAUGUCCAGCCUGUUCUCCAUGAGAAUGUUCUAUUAUGUAGCACUGAAACAUGUGGUAAAUGUCUCCAAUCUCUUGAGCAAGAAUGCCAAGCUCUGAGGACUGAAAAUGUGUUGCUGAAAGAAAAAACAAAUAACACUACACUGAAUGAAAUAAGCUUGCAUAAUGAUGAUAAAACAGUUGAUAUUCUUACUGGUUUACCAACGUAUACAAUUCUCAUGACAGUUUUUCAUUUUGUGGCUCCUUUUCUCAAACUUAAAUCUUGUUUAACAUGUUUUCAGCAGUACAUGUUAAUGUUAAUGAAGCUUAGAAUGAACUUGUUCUUUGACUUUUUGGCUUUUUACUUCAAAAUUGACUCAACCACUGUAUCAGUGUGAUGCAUUGUAGACUGGUGCUAAGUCUAGUGUUGUGGCCUGACAGAGAAUCCCUAAGACAAUCUCUGCCAUAUGCAUUUCCGAACAGCAGCUUUGAGAAAACUGUUUGCAUCAUAGAUUGUUUAGAAAUAUUUCUAGAGAAACCAAGUAGGUUGCUAGCCAGUGCUUAGUGUUACUCCUUGAAUAAGUCACAUCACACAAUAAAAAAAUUAAUUGCAAUUUGACCUCAAGGUUCUAUUUGUUUCAUCUCCUCUGGAUGGGGAGGUCGCACAAGUGAUACGUUUAUUACAGAACAAAGUAAUUUUUUAUCUCAUUUGCUCCCAGGUGAUGUAGUUUUAGCAGACAGGGGUGUCCUGGUUAAAGAGUCCAUUCAGAGAUUCCAAGCAGACCCAUAUGGAAAAGAAACAGAAAAAACUUAUAAAAGACUUGCAUAAGAUGUGGCCUACUUCAUAUAGUGAAUCAUAUAAGGCUUAUAUGAUUUACUCAUGAAAGUGGCCACUUUCUCAUUACUUUCAUAUAUUGUUUUAGUAAGUAUCCAAAACAUACAAGUUUCAUUUAUAUAAUUUUUCAAGGGAUGUUAUAUCUGUUUUCACUCUUGUAUGCUUUUUAUACAAGUUUCACACAAGACAGAUACAAACUUUAUAAGAUUUAUAUAUAUCUUUUCCAUAUGGGGAAUUAAAGAUUCCAGCAUUUACACGUGGAAAGAAACAGUUGAAUCCUGUUGAUUUGGAGAACACCAGAUGUCUUGCUUCUCUCAGGAUACAUAUAAAAGAGUAAUAGGAGUUCACCGUCAAAAGUACACGAUCUUGCAAAGGACUGUCCCCAUAACUUUUACAGACAUAAACAGAGAAAAUGAUGUAACCUAUCUUGACAAGAUUGUGGGUGUAUGUUGUGCACUUACAAAUGUAUCUGAAUCUGUGGUGCCCUUCCAGUGAUGUAAAUGAAAAUGAUGUAACUGAUGUGCUCAACCAACAAAUACACAUUAUUAACUCUCACUUUUUGUUUGCUUAUUGUGACUUGACUUUUGAAGGGAAAGCUUUCUUACCUGUCCUACAAAUAUCAGAAUAAGAGAAUGGCAGACGUCACCUGGACUCAUUAUUUUUUGAUCUUCACAUCCAUCUCAAAUGACUUCCACUAAUCACGUUUCAUAUUCCUGAUUGACAGAUACAGAUCAGAAUCAAAAUCAGAAAAAGUAGUUUUAUUGCAUUUGUCAGUGAACAAAAAUCACUUUCAUAACUUGCUUCAGUGGUAAGGUGCAAUAUAAAACACUGAAUUAUAUUAAUAACAAAAAUAGCAUUAAUUUAGAAUUUUAAUUUAGGUUUGAUGAUCUUCCCCUCUUGUGUGCGGCAUUGGGAGAGGUUGUGAUACAGUUGGUCUUGCUCAGCAGUAUCAGACGUGGGAAAGCUGGGAGGCCAGGAUGGUCUUUAGCAGAUUUCUCUUUUUUAUUUUGUUUAGAGUUGUUAAAAAUGAUGUCCUUGCAUUGCUGAUACUCCACUUUCUUUAAAGACUCCUCACUUGGGAUGGCCCACUUGCACUUCUUAGAUGUAACAGCUAUCUCUUCUUUUUUCCCACUGGUAUGCUGCCAUGUGCUGAACAACACAGCUGACACAUGUGAGCAGCUCUCACCAAGGCCAGCUGUGCAGUUACUGUGUGCGCCGAAAACAACCCAUCUUUUCUCACUACUACUCAUGGCUUUAACUGAGGGUCAUUAAGCCUUUGGGAAUGUUGAACCUAUAAAUACAAUUACAAAUGUUAACAAUCUUGGUUAAGUACAUCAAAAACACAAAAUAGCUACUGACAACCAGACGUGUUUUAGCCAAGCUAAUGUAAACCAACGACAACGCGGACCACGCUAACAAUGCUAACAUUACACCACCUGGGAUAAUAAUAUGACACUUACCUUUCCAGUGAUGAUGAAGAAUUUUUUUUGCUUGAAGAUUCCACACCUGAAUGUUUGUUACAAAGCCAGAUUGAGUCCAAUUGUAACCCUCCAGGCUUUUGUAAGCUUUUAAAGAGUCCCCCGAGUAGGACGAUGGUAGUUGUCCGGAUAGCAUAGAUCUGGGACGUCUUCUUCCGCUGAAAUACUUUUGAAAAGCACGCCGAGAGCAUUGUACGGGUCGGUAAUAUUUAACCUAUUUAGUUUUUUGAUAUACAGCUCGAUGUUGUGCGAAUUAAAGUGAGAAGAAUACUCAGAUGGCUUGAAAGUUUCUGGAGUGCUGCUUACAGUGGCGCUGUUCAUGUUGCUGCCAAAAUGGCCACCUGACAACUGUUAGUCACGUGAGGUCCGGAGCUUAUUUUGGUUCCUGCAACUGGUCCGUCGGGUUAUUGUCUCCCCAGAAACACUUCCGUUGUGUUUUUUUCUAUUUGUGUUUUGUUUUUUCCUAUUUCUGUUGUCGUUUGUCCUAUUUCCGUUGUGUUUUGUGUGCUUUUGCAGCGUUUUUCUUAUUGCUGGUGUUUUCUUAAGUUGCAGUCCGUUUGGCCUCUCAGGGCCACCGUCACUUACUGUAACCUUAACCAUCAAAAGUGAAUGCCGAACCAUAACCUAACUGGAACCCUGACAUUAAAACCACUUUUUG